This 468-nucleotide ribosomal RNA is filed under the name uncultured bacterium. RNAcentral describes it as "partial 16S ribosomal RNA". It matches the Rfam family "Bacterial small subunit ribosomal RNA", at positions 28 to 507 of the family's 1533-position model. The record is from RNAcentral.
GACGAACGCUGGCGGCGUGCUUAACACAUGCCAGUCGAACGGAAAGGCCCUGCUUUUGUGGGGUGCUCGAGUGGCGAACGGGUGAGUAACACGUGAGUAACCUGCCCUUGACUUUGGGAUAACUUCAGGAAACUGGGGCUAAUACCGGAUAGGAGCUCCUUCUGCAUGGUGGGGGUUGGAAAGUUUCGGCGGUUGGGGAUGGACUCGCGGCUUAUCAGCUUGUUGGUGGGGUAGUGGCUUACCAAGGCUUUGACGGGUAGCCGGCCUGAGAGGGUGACAGGCCACAUUGGGACUGAGAUACGGCCCGGACUCCUACGGGAGGCAUCAGUGGGGAAUAUUGCACAAUGGGCGGAAGCCUGAUGCAGCAACGCCGCGUGCGGGAUGACGGCCUUCGGGUUGUAACCCGCUUUCGCCUGUGACGAAGCGUGAGUGACGGUAAUGGGUAAAGAAGCACCGGCUAACUACGUG